This is an RNA transcript of Balaenoptera musculus (blue whale), 5964 nucleotides long. It is a transcript of the gene named intraflagellar transport 22, with no coding region annotated. The transcript has 7 exons. The record is from RefSeq and is a predicted model, not a curated record. NCBI's taxonomy places the organism in Eukaryota, Metazoa, Chordata, Mammalia, Artiodactyla, Balaenopteridae.
AUGGGAACGAAGGCAGCCAACCGGCGCGGCGGCUGGCGCGGCGGCUUCCGCUCCGCCCUGACGGCGGCGAGGACUCUGGCAGCGCCUGGGGCUCCGGCGGGUCUGCGGGCUGCGGGCCGCGAUGCUGAAGGCCAAGAUCCUCUUCGUGGGGCCCUGCGAGAGUGGAAAAACUGUUUUGGCCAACUUCCUGACAGAAUCUUCUGACAUCACCGAAUACAACCCAACCCAAGGAGUGAGGAUCCUGGAAUUUGAGAACCCACACGUUACCAGCAACGACAAAAGCACGGGGUGUGAAUUUGAGCUCUGGGACUGUGGUGGCGAUCCAAAGUUCGAGUCUUGCUGGCCAGCCCUGAUGAAGGACUCUCACGGGGUGGUGAUCGUCUUCAGUGCUGACAUCCCAAGCCACCUGAAGGAAAUUGAGAUGUGGUAUUCCUGCUUCGUCCAGCAGCAGUUUUUACAGGAUACUCAAUGUCUGUUAAUUGCACACCACAAACCAGGCUCUGGAAGUGACAAAGGAAACCUGGCUUUGGCGCCACCCUUGAACAAGCUGAAGCUGGUGCACUCAAAUCUUGAGGAUGACCCAGAAGAGAUCAGAAUGGAGUUCAUAAAGUAUUUAAGAAGCAUAAUCAACUCAGUGUCUGAGAGCAGAGACCGGGAGGAGAUGUCAAUUAUCACCUAACCGGCCUUCACCUAGACGCUUCCGCAUCCCAAAUGAAGUCAAUUUCAGUGCAGAUCUGAAAUCCAUCCACCUACUAAGGUUCUCAUCUCCCUUUGGCUGUAGAAGACAUUUUCCUUAUUUGGCCAAAGAUGUGACAAGGCACAUGAAAGCCACAGAAGCAUGAAACAGCUCAGACGUGUGGGAAACUCGGUAGUGGAUCGUCACUCAAGGCUGUGUGGAGGAGGGAGUGUCUGAACAGAAAGCUCUUCAAGGAAGAACCACAUCUUGUCCUUUGUAUUCUCCACGGCACCUAUGAGCACCGAGGGACUUGGACGACUUGGGGAUUGGCGACUGUAUGCGGCUGUGGACACCGCAGUGGACGCAGAGAGAUGGAUUUGUGGUUCAGGGCCAUCUCAGAUGGAGAUGCGCUUACCCUUGACUGAAGACAUAGCCUGCCUUCUCUGGGAUGGCUGUCGGCCAUUCUCCUCCAGGUCACACAGGAGGAAGGUCAACUUGUCCUUAUUGCCACCCCUUCCCCCCGACCCGGAAGCCAGAUUAGCCCUGAUGUCCAUAAGGUGGCAGAUGCUUGGUCCCCAUUGCCUCGGCUCUGCCUGGGAGGCGUUGCUGGCUGCCGUGCAUUGCGCUAACCUUGGGAGUGACCUUGAGCGGGGGAGGCAGGGAACAAACAAGAAAUCAGGAUGUUGGAGAGCUCGCCAGUGUCCUGGAUAGGGAUGGCUGGCUCAGGGUCCACCCUCAACAUGAAGUUGGAGCUCUUUGAGAACAAGGCCUAUGUCUGAAGCAUCUCUGUAUUCACAGUGCCUCGCUGAACACCUGGCACUGAGUGCUCCUGUAGUUACCAGCAACCAAGGUUACCAGCGCGGAGGUAACCAGGAGAACGGAUGUUGAUGACUGUACUGAAAGGUCCCACCUGUGCCACCCCCGCCACGAGUGCAUCAUCCUUUCGUACACGGCGAAGCUCUGGGUCCCAAGCACGAAAUGCAGGAACAUCCCUUGUCUUUUGUUAGCUGCAAAAUCUCUAUCUCCCCUACCAAAAAAGGGGACAGAUUCUGUGUAUAUCCAGGGAUUUAUAUAGCCAUGGCGCUCUCUUCUAAAUUUCUUUAAAAGCUAGUAAGUUAGAAAUGUUCGUGGUGGGGUUGAUAAGAGUUAAUGCCUAGUGUUGGCUCUGCCCAUAAGAACUGCAUUUCCUAGAAAGCGAAGGCUGCUUCUAAACAGCUGAACCUCGAACCUGGUGAAGAUGUGAGCAGAUUGUUGAGCAAUAAGGAGAGAAAGGGAGGGCCCUUGCCAGCUGCCUCUUUGCCUGCUUACCCGAGGCUUACGAGCUCACGCACGCCGCUGUCUCUGGGCAGGAGGACAGCUGCUCACUGGGUUUUCGUGCUCCUGACUUGAAAGUGUAUAGCUGGAACGUCAUUUACACUGGAUCUCCAGAACACCCUCUCAAAUCACUCCUCUAAGGACUAUCCCAAGACCAAAUCUUAUCACCCUUAAAUAGGGUGACCCGAACAUCUGGAUUCGGCUGGGCAGGUUCAACUGCGGCCAUAAGUCAAGGGCCUUGGUUCUGUCUGCCAGCCAGGUUCCUCUCCUCCACAUGGCAUCCACUAAAAUGGGGCUGAAAUGUCCAAAAAUGGCUUUUUCCCUCCUGUGCCUGGUGCCUCCGUGUUCUGCCAUGUGGCGUCUCUCUGUGUAGAGUGGCCUGAUCUUCUUGUUUCCCUGGGCUCCAGGAACCCACUGUCUCUGCUCUUCUCCACUCCAUUACACCUGCCCCCCCCCCCACACACACACAGCCCCUCCUGUGGGGAGCGGCCUCAUUCAGCCCCCCCGCCAGGUGGCUGUGUUGUAUCACAUGACCCCCUCUCUGUCACCCUCCCCACACCACACACACAGGCAAGUCAGGGGACCAGGAUCUCUAUAGGCUGGCCAACAACUUUUGAAGUUACCUGACUCAAAAAUAUAAAGGAAACCAGUCAGGCCAGGCAGUUUCCCCUUUUAGGAAAUUUGAACCCCCAAAUCAGACCGUAUAGGCAGUGUGUGACACGAUGUCAUGAGGGCAAGUAGGGCCAUGUGCUGGCCAGAAUUACACUGAGGAGGAAAAUUGGAGACUGAAGAAAAGCAAAACAAGCUGUGACAGGGAGAAAACGCAUUUCGAGUUGCGGGAAGAAUGAGCCUCUUGCGGAAGAAGAUAAAGGAGGGAAUAACCUGAGCAGAGCUGGGACUCCGUGAAAAAGGCGGAGAGAGGAGCCAGCCCUGGAGCCGCCCUGCUGCCCGGGCUCACCAGGCCUGCCUUGCCCCGCCCCCCCACCCAUGUGUUGCACUGCAGCAAGCUCGUAACUUCUUCCCUUUGCUGUCUGUUGGCUUAGAAGUGGGUGCGUGACUUAGUUCUGCCAACAAAACUUACAGGGAAAUGGCUGGGGGACCUUCUGGGGAGAUUUUGCUUUCUGAUUAAAGAAGAGAGAGUGAAGAGGCCUGUCCCGUCUUCCUGCUUUGAACAGGGAUGUUUGAGACGUGAUACUUGGAGCUGUAGCAGCCAUCUUGAGACCAGGAGGCAACAAAACCAAGGGAAAAAGCCAACAUACCAAGCUUGGCCGAGUAGACAGACAAAAAAAAGCCUGGGUCCUUGAUGAUACCGUUGGGCCACUAUACCUAUCCUGGAACCACCUACUUCCAGUCUUACUGAUCGCUAAAUUGAAUGUCUUUAUUUUCUAAGCAGAUUUCUGCUAUUUGCAGCCUUUGGCAUUCUUAACCAGUACAGCACUCCUCUGAACCUCUCUGUCAUCAAUUCCUUAGAGCCCCAUGGCUCUUGGUGUAGCUCCAAAUGGAAAAUCAGCCCAAGUUUAGACACUGGAAAUCUUACUUGCAUGGUAGGAAAUGCAAGUCAAGAUUAGCCACAGCCUACAUAGGCAAGCAACUUUAGCACUUAGUUCCAACUCCCAGGGCCUACAGGGCACCGACAAGGAAGGAAAGAUUCAGGAAAGUUCAGGCGUAUGAGCAUGUCUUCUAAAAUGGGGCUCAUCUUCUAAAAUGGGGCUUAAUGAUGAAUUUUAGAACAAAUCAGUGGGAUAGGGGCGGGGGGGGGGUGGUAUUAAUCCCUGGGAUGCAGAGCCUAAGCACGGGCCAGAAGGCCACGGAAGGCACACGGAAGGAGCAGCAAGUUGGAAUGGGCAAGUGGUGGGUUGGGUUGGAUGAAUUCUAGAGAAGGAGGCCAGUCUCAUGUAGCAGGAUUUUAUGAGCCCCACGUACUAGCUGGAAGAAAUGUAUGGCAGCUAGAACUAAACUGGUGCAAAACUAAGCCCUUUAGUUCCUCUCCAGCCAGCCUUAGUGACAUUGCAUAUCCUCUUGGGAAUAAGGUGCCAUGAGUUGUGGCCACUCCCCACUUUCUCCAUUCUUUGUCCCCUUUCCACCUGUCCCUUUUUUCUCAACCUUUUCUUCCUGUCUUCUCUGUGCAAAGCCAGGAGCCAGAAAUGCACACAACCUGAAUCUCUUCUCCCUCAACUGGGGAAUGGAUAUAGUGGUGAGCAAGGAUGUCUUCUAGGAGACCCAGAAUCCUAGGCUAGGGGUAAGGAGUUAGGUUGGGAGGAGAGAACACAGUCGGUGGAUAAGACCCUGAUGAAGCUUUCUUCUGAUCCAGGUUCCAUCAAGCAAUGUGGUUUUCGUGUUGCUUCAACACAAGAAAAUGUGCCUGACCCUUCCCGCAUGAAAUGAGAAGUUGAACUCAAGAACUGUAGCCCUUCCUCUUUAAAUGUCUAGUUUUAGAUACAAAACAAAGAGAAACUGGCAUCCUCCUAAUGUAGCCUUCAAAUACGAAUGAUUCCAUUACAUUCAGACUUGAGAAAAAUCACCACCCCCUUUUCCCAUCACAAAAUAGUCUUCAGCAGUAAAGAGAUGUGGCCCGUAGAAGUUCCUCGAGUUAAUGGGGCCCGAACACGGAUAUGUUGCAGUCCUAGUAGAAUCUGUAACCUCCAGAUCCUGCCAGUAAGCCUCGCCCCCUCAACGCAGUCCUUACACGCCCUACAUGACUUAUGGAGUCCUGACCCCGAAGGCCCAAGCCAGGCCGACUCUGCUGUUUACCGAUUGCAUGACUUCAUUCAUUCAGCAGAAAUGUACUGAAUACCUACUAGAAUUAGAAGUUAAGCUUAUAAAAGCAAGCUUAUAAGCUUAUCUUCCUUACCUUCCUUAAGGAAGAUAAGUCAUUAGAGACAAAAAAAAAAUUCUAUGAGAUAAUCAGGGACAGAAAUGAAAGCUUUGGUUGCAGUGGAAGAAGCAAAAAGUUUAAACCCCUUCUUAAUGCAAUUAAUGCUUUAAUGCGAUACUUAAUAAACCCUGAAUCCACCCCACUCCACCCCGGCAAAGUUUCCCCAUAUAUCACUAAGGAUUCUCUGAAAUCCAAUAAGGAAAAGAACUGAAGGCUUUUCCUCAGUCUCCACAAUCAAGGUUUUUCUCCAGAAUGAAUUAGCCUGAUUACUGACUAAAAGCUCUCCCACAGUCUUUACAACGAGAGUGUUUGUUUCCUGUGAAUUCUCCAAAGAUGAGAAAGGGCUGCGCUAUCCCCAAAUGACGCUCCACGUUGGUUGUACUCACAGGCUUCUCUCCAGCAUGAAUGAUCUGACGUUCAGCAUACUCCACGCUUCCCCUAGACAGCUUCCCACAUUCAUCACACACGCCCGCUUCACAUCCCGAAUGAAUCAGCUGACAUUGUCUAAGGCUAGAACUCCGAUUGAAGGCUCUUCCUCAUCCAUUCUGCUCCCAGGGCUGCUAUCCGCUCUGAAAUCCCAGAUGUCUAAUUAGCUCUGAGCACUGUCUAAAAGCAUUUUCACAGCCAUUACGUGAAUAUGGUUUUUCUCCAGUGUGAAUUCUCUGACGUUGAAUGAGCUUUACUUUUCCUGAAAGCCCUCACAUUUAUCGCGUUUGUAGCGUUUCUACUGCAUGCGAAUUAGCUGAUGCCGUGUGGUGUCGGAAUGCUGCCAGAUGCCUCCUGCAAACAGGGAUUCUCUCCAAGAUGAAUGUUAGAACGUUCAGUAGGCUGGGAGCCCUGAGAAAAGUGGCCUCUGUACAUAACAGAGAUGUUCUCUCCAAUAUGCAUACUGUAAUAUUGAAUGAAUUCUGAAUUCUGUUCUAAGAGUUGGCCACAUCUAUCUUAUUUGUGGGUUUUCUCACUUCUAAAAAACAUGUGUAUAGAAUUGCAGAUUUUCCCAUAUUCAUCCCAUUCAUGGGACGGGGUCCCUAAUGGUUCUCUAGGAUGUCUCUGUAUUUACAGACCUCUCGAAACUCAGACCUGGUCAGUAUCCCACAGG